GGGGGUGAACAGGGUUCGACGGGAGUGGUAGAUGUAAUGACAGCAGGUCGGAGUUGGUCGAUGGCUCCGUAAAAAUCGACCGAAAAAUAAACAACGAUAAUAUCGUUCCUAUGCAGAACUUCAAUCCUUGUAUGAGUUUUGGAGCAAUGCCAAUAGCUGCUUAAUGUAGCUUCGUUUUACUUUAGACACCUGCUAUAGAGAUAAAACGACAAGAGCAGGUUAGUUUUAAGCGGCUUGUGCCGUCAGUUUAAAAUAAAAUCAAAACGGCGCUGGUUUAUAGCGUAAUCCCGUCUGGAGACGGCGUUAUAAAUGAGAAAAAUCUUCCAGACUAAACCUGUAGCGGUCUUACUGAAACAUUUUCGGACGCGGGUUCAAUUCCCGCCACCUCCAUUA
This 393-nucleotide transfer-messenger RNA is filed under the name Endomicrobium sp. It matches the Rfam family "transfer-messenger RNA". Rfam says of the family: Bacterial tmRNA, also known as 10Sa RNA or SsrA, is named for its dual tRNA and mRNA-like properties. Lineage: Bacteria; Pseudomonadati; Elusimicrobiota; Endomicrobiia; Endomicrobiales; Endomicrobiaceae. The record is from RNAcentral.